RNAcentral lists this transfer RNA (77 nucleotides) under Bryobacterales bacterium. Its description in RNAcentral is "tRNA-Val". It matches the Rfam family "tRNA". Rfam says of the family: Transfer RNA (tRNA) molecules are approximately 80 nucleotides in length. Their secondary structure includes four short double-helical elements and three loops (D, anti-codon, and T loops). Lineage: Bacteria; Pseudomonadati; Acidobacteriota; Terriglobia; Bryobacterales. The record is from RNAcentral. RNAcentral also lists the same sequence under 2 other names.
GGGCGGCUAGCUCAGUUGGUUAGAGCGCCUGCCUUACAAGCAGGAGGCCACUGGUUCGAGUCCAGUGCCGCCCACCA